This 4800-nucleotide long non-coding RNA is filed under the name Sus scrofa (pig). Its description in RNAcentral is "lncRNA (ENSSSCG00025038193.1)". The record is from RNAcentral. Lineage: Eukaryota; Metazoa; Chordata; Mammalia; Artiodactyla; Suidae.
GAGAAAGUGUCAUUCUUUUCCUUGGUGUGGAGAGUAGACUACUGAAUGGCUCUAUCACGGCGAAUUCACCAAUAUCUCAGCGUCUUUCUUCACAGCUGGUGAACUGCUACACAGGAAGCAGAAGAUCGCAUUAUACUUUUUAUUUUAGGGCCACAGGACCUACGGCUAUCGGUGAGGGUGGGAGGUGCACUGGGAUGAAGCCCAGACUCCGAGUCUCCUACGGGGCCAGGGAGCCACUGCGGGAUGUAUUUUAAAGAAAAUUCAUUCCAGAGAGAGCUCCCGGACCUGCCUUCAUUGCGUCCAGUCCUGCCUGGGGAAAUCACGCUCCCGAUGGGUGCAUCAACCUGUUUCCCCACCAACCAUUCCUUUUAAAGGACAAAGGACAUCACUAGACCGAAUGAGAUCAGGCCAAAGGACCCAAAGCAGCCAGCUUCUUCCCUUAACUGCUGCUGCCACUCAGAGACCCAGCUGCAGAGGAAAGAGGGCAGGAUGCCUGGGAGAUGCCACCUGACGGGUCGGGUGGUGGUGAGACUGGGCUGAAUGUAGGUUCACAUCCCUCCCAAUAAGAUGGUGACGCAGGAGCAAAGUGACAUGGUCUGUAGCUCGACUCACGUUAAAUAAAGGACAGGUGAGGUGGCUGCCCAAACCGUCCUGUUUCCAAGAAGCCAACACAAUUGAUUCCUCAUCCCCAAAGGCUUCCCUCUCUGUUGGCUCUUUGAAUUUUAAUAUUGUUAAAGCCUUAAUAAUAGGUAGGCUAAACACCCAUGUAAUGAAUCCCAUUCGUCAUAAACAGCUCCCUGCACCCAAGCAAACAAAGGAGCAAAACUCUCUCGCACACGACCAACCUCCCUAACUCCAACGACCUGCAAGGGAAGCUGAGUUGGAUGAUGCAUUUGCUUUAAAAUAAAAUAAAAUAAAAUGCUGUCAAGAACGUGCAGAAACCCCUCAUUCAGAAAACCAACUUUUACCUACCCAAGUUCUCAGGUGAGCUGCUUAAAGCAAAGGUAAAAACACCUUGAAGGAGGAAUUUCUACAGUGUCCCAGGGUACUUUACACCUGCUUUCUCAUAAAGCAUAGCCAUCUCCAGAUUGUUCUGGAGUCUUCUUUGUUAGUAAACCCUUUCUCCUCAUGAACCUCAAGUCAAGUCCUGAAUCAAAAGGAUCAUAAAUUCCCCCCAAAAUGAACGAAGACUGGGCACCAAAGGCGCCCUGUGGGGGAGCAGUGCUAUGUUGUUCCCGUCGGCCAGCCUUUAAUUUCACUUCUGCUCACAAAAGCAGUGGAAGGACUUCAUAGCAAGAGGUGAGCAUAGGAGAAAGAAAGAAAGAAAGAAAGAGAGAGAGAGAGAGAGAGAGAAGGAAGGAAGGAAGGAAGGAAGGAAGGAAGGAAAGAAAGGAAGGAAAGAAGGAAGAAAAGAAAAAGAAAAAACCAAAGUUGUCCUAUCUACUAAAGUUGUUUGUGUUUCUGUGUGUUUUGCACUGUUUUUGUUUUCCAGGAAAAGGAAAGUUGGCGGGGGGUACUGUUACAGAAUGGGCAGUAAGUAGGUCUUAGGCAGGACCAAAGAGAACUCUGGAGGGCCUCCCUGUUUCCAGGUUCUUCCAGAGACCUCCGAAGUAGGACACAGCCGGCUCCUCCUGUGCCUUCUCUGAGCAGGGCUGCUGGGUCCCCACUGGCUUCAUUGGCGCUCCUGAGCCCUGCUGAGCCUGCACCUGCCCCAGGACCUUGGUACGUGCUUUCCCCUACAAUCCCCUAUGUAGGCAGGUCUCUGUUUGCCGGCAGCUCAUCAGAGAGACUUGUCUCAAUGCUCAUAGCCUCGUCUUUCCAUCCUCUGUCCUCCAAGUGCGGAUUACCUUGACGGCACUGUUCUUUCCCGGAUGUGUCCUGUUUGGCUUGAUACCCCUUUCUCCAACUAGAAUGAAAGCUCUCUGUCUGUGCCUUCCACUAACAGUGAUUGUUGGUCAUAAAACUUCAAAGAAACAGAUAUUUAUAGCUUGAUUAAGGCCCUUGUUUUUUUUCCACACACACACUCACCACAGCACUUUCCAACUCUGUUCCCAUGAGCGUACUGAAAACAGCCUCCUGCCCACUUCCUGUCGAGGCCAGCUCCUUAACCGCCUCAGUCCUGAAGAAGCUCUUUUUUUUUUCCAGCCUUCACGUCUUUCGGUUUCUCUUGGGUUUUCACAGUUGGGUGUUUUCACUCCUUUUCUCAGGCACCCGAGCCCCCAGGUGAGCCGCCCCCACAUGCAGCACGAUGACAGGGCCACGAAGAAAGAACAACCCCAAAGUGGGAAAAUAUUCCUUCUCUAAACAGCCUUCCUGCCGGGAUAAGAGGAAGCCCGACUGGUCACCUGUUCACCCAGGGCUGACGAUGUGAGGGGCUGGAAAGAUCUAGAGAAGCGGGAUCCACUUGAAGAAGUAAUUCCUGUUUUUCUUCGUAAAUAUUGCUACCUUGACUAUUCGUGAUAAUGUAACUUAGGACCAAAGCUUUAUAAACAUUAUUUUCCAAUCAUCGAGAGAAUCUUGUAAGAGGGGUAACUAAUAGCUCUGUGUCUAACACGAGUAAAAAAUCUUAAAAGGGGGGCAGAGAUCUGUCACAUGGCUAGGACCCAGCAGCGCUGCCAGUGUACCCACUACAGGCUGUCUUCCGGAUGAAAAGUGGCACCUGCAUUCUUGGGAGGGGGCGCUAAUAGCAAAUAUGGGGGAAGGUAUGAAUUAUCUAAAACAAAGGACAUGAAUGGGUCCCAAUUCAGGUAAAACAUGAUUGGUUCCAUUCCUAAUAACAGCUAUAGUUGAUGCUCUGAGUUAAUCAUUUGCUCCUCUCAUUAAACAUCAGGAUCCCCACCCCCCACGCCCUUUAAAGUAAGUUCAACAGAAAGCAUCCUUUGGGAAAAAAAGUGAUCGUUAAGUAGGUAUAGCUUUAAAAGAGGUCCGAUUGUGCCCUGGGCUUCCAGUGACACUGUCCUUUGUGGCACGACGGCUGUGAAUUCUCCUGGGAUGCUGGGAGUACACCUGAGGUAGGCUUAGCAGCCCACGGUAGGUACUGAUUGUGACGCUCAAGUCCUGGGCAGUCCUAGAGGUGUGGACCACACGUUUGGGAAGUGAAAGGAGACCCUCUUAGAUGUUUUCAUGAGAAAAAAGGAAACUAAAGUGGUCUCCCCAGGAUCAAGUUAGAAAACCCCUUUUACUUUCACACAGAAACCCCCAGAGAGAGCGCUGCACUGCUUUAUGCUGUCGUUUCUCUCACUCUGCAUAAGGUCGGUGGCCCAGGAAGAACCUGCUCCCAUCUGCGGGGUGAGCCUUUGCAUCACCCACCGAGGCAAAGUGAGGCAGCUCAGGGGCUGCCAAGCACCCCAGAGCCAGACCCACAGGGCUCCUUGCCCCAGUGGGACCCCUGUUUACCAACCAAGUUAGACGAACAGCAACAGUAAUAUGCAAUGAAAACCUCAAAUGUGCAUUUUUGCUACUCAUCUUCGGAGUUCUGCCAAUAAAACUGGAAGACUGGAAAGCAGCCUUACCUUCUUGGAGAAGGGCACUAAUAUUUAUUAUCCACUGCGCGCUGGAAAUUUUCGCAGUCUCAAAGAGAACAAAGUUGGUCAUGUGACUAUUUUGAAGAUUGUGGAGAACUGGCCUCAAUACAGAACGUUCAUUUCUUUUUUUUACUGACACUCUGCUGAUACUUCUGAAUCCCUUCUGACAGCUGGGGAACUGUCAUUAUUAAGUAAUUCAGUGUAGAAGAGAAUAUAUUUUUUGAGAUCCAAACACUUAUUAUCCAGAUGAUAUAACGCUGUAAUCCAAAUUUAAAAAUGAGUUCUAUUUGGAUCACUUUCCCCGACCAAUCCUCGAGUGGAAUCAAGUUACACAGAGAAAGCAACAUUUCCAGCAGAGUUUCUGUUUAGCGAGUGAGGUUUCUAUGUGGUGAAGCCAAAAGGAGAGAAAUGCAUAACCUGAACCCGUGCGCACAGCUGCCCGAGGAGCCGGGAGGCUGAGAAGGUCUUUCCCAAAGCUCAGCAGUGUAGACCGCCCAACGGGAGCCUCCCAGGCCAGGGAAAAGUAUCAUUGACACACCAAGGGUUAAGACCUGACUCAACCCCACUUCACUUCCUUGGCCAUAGGGGUCAGCAUAGGAUGACCCCGCCUGCGGCGGGCUGGUGUGGGUCACUGGGAGGACUGGCGAGACCCAGAGAAUGCGGUUUGGAAAGAGAAGAGAACCAACAUCAUUCUCAAGGUCAGCUGUGGGGGGCGGGGGGGGGGGGGGAAGAGGGCGCACGCGCACGCGCAUGCGUCCCGCUUUGGUUCUUCGACUGUACGUUCAGACCUGUUCGUAGAUCAGUAUACGAGCAAAUCCACAGACGGAUGAGCAAGGGAAGCAUGUCUGAUUUUAUGUCACUUACCCUACACCCCUUUAUUCUUGAUAGAAAAGGCAGCAAUCCCAACUCAUGGGACGACUGGGAGGAUAAAAAAGAUCGUGUUUACAAACUGUUUAAUAUAAGCUGAUGGCACUCUUUCUUUCAGGCAUUUUUUUUCAUUAUAGCCGAUUUACAAUGUGGUGCCCAUUGCUGCUCUACGGCAAAGUGACGCAGUCACACAUCUAUGUACAUUCCCUUUCUUAUAUUAUCUUCCCUCGUGAUCUAGCCCAAGAGACUGGAUACGGUUCCCUGGGCUGCAGAGCAGGAUCUCGUCGAGGAAUUAUUUUAUUUUUAUGACUUUUUAUUAUUAUUACUUUUUAAAUUUUUUAUUUAAACAAGUUUUUUUUAUUAUAGAUUUGCAAUGUUCUGUCCAUUUCUGCUGUACAGCAAAGUGACC